Molecule: long non-coding RNA, 1869 nt
Organism: Monodon monoceros (narwhal)
Lineage: Eukaryota; Metazoa; Chordata; Mammalia; Artiodactyla; Monodontidae
Source: Ensembl
CUCGCGUCGUCCCAGACUCUCCACAGCUCCCGCUGCCGAGACUCCGAGCAGACGUCGCAGCGGGCCAAGCGUCGCCACUCUGGGGACGCGAACAAGCUGGCGGCCCGCGCCCCUCUCCUGCUACCUGGUCGCGGGAAAACGAACUAGCACCGCUCCCCGGGCCGAGGCCAUUCCCCCGCCCCCACCGCCGGAAGAGCUGCCCUUCCCCGAUGGGAGGGGGGCGGGAAACUUUGCGAGACGACUGUUCCGCGCCUUUCUCGCGUGGCGUCGGAGAGGAACUUGGGUGGGUUUCCCGUCCGAGGCCUGACCACACCCUCCCACUUUUCUAGGCCUCGGACCUCAACCUCGUGGACUACGGAGCGGAGGGGGACACUUCGGGCCACUCGGAGGGUGGCACCGAAGUCAGGCGUCCCCAAGGGCUCUGGCGGAUGGCCAAGUUUGUGUUCUUUCCAUCCCACGCCGGAGUAGCGCUCGCUACUUUGGGGAAACUUCAGACUCCUCAACCCCGGCCACGAGGCCACCCCUGUCUUUAAGACCACAUAAGGAACACCAUGAUCCGUGCAUCUGUGCAGCUUGUUCCAGAGUCCCAGCCCUCACCAGCUGUGAGGUCACAUCUCUUGGAAGGCAGUCAUCUACCUCAACCAGCAGCUCCGAGAUGCUGGGCAGCGGGACCAUAUCUGCCAUUGGGAGAGCUGCCGCUGGUGCUCUGGGCUGUCCUACUCCUUCCGGUAGCCAAAGAGAGGAUGCGAGUUUUAAAAAUGCAUAUAUUCAGCCAUUAUCUGGCCCAUCCAGUGACAAUCCCGCUGCUAAGUCCAGGACACCCUGGCUCACACUGCCACCUCCGGACAUGGAUAUGGUCCCUGCCAUCCCAGGAAUGGAAUGUCAUUGACAUGGUGACGGCCACCCUCCACCAGAAUGGACUCCUGUGCUCUGUGCAUCUCUGCUUCACUAGCUCCUGACUCCAAGUCUUUGAUGGGGCAUCUGAUUGGCUGAGCGUAAGUCAGGAGCCCACACUAACUGCAGUGGCAGCUGGGAAAAUGACUGUAUGGCGUUUUUCGCUUCUCUGGUGGGAGGCAACUAGGAAGAUGGGGAAUUUCUCAAACACGGUAGUGGGGGUUGGAUGCCGGUCAGCCUUGUACUUACCUCACCUGGAAAAAUGCCGAACAGCUGUCCCCAGGGAGUGCUAGAGGAUUGUAUGUCUCCAGGGACAGCCUGAGCUUGUCUUCCCUUCCUCCAGAUGCUGAUGGAAGUGUGUGUGUGUGUGUGUGUGUGUGUGUGUGUGUGUCUGUAAGGACAGGAACACAUUACACAACGUGGGGUCAGGAACCCUGGGUACGGUUCUGAGUCCCCGGGCCUCAGUUCCACUCAGCCUGCUGUCCAACCUUUGAGCAUGCAGAAGAUGUGUGGUGGCUUCUGCUGUAGUCUGGGCCACUGGGCCAAAAGAUGCCCCCAAGAGUGCCAAAGCCCCAAACGGAAUGGGGCCAUUGGUUCCGUGUAACAGAUGAGAGCGUAGGUUUUGGAGUCAGAGAGAUCGGGGUUCGCCAGCCAUGUGACCUUGUACAUGUUCCUUAACGUCUCUGAACCUUAGUUUCCUUAUCUGUAAAAUGGAGAGGAGGUGGCAGGCACUCAGCCUCCAUUCCAACCUGUUUCUAUGGCGCCUUCAUGUUCUGCAGAGGUUGGAAGGCUAAAAACUACAGUUCCCAGACACCUUUGCAGCUGGGGCUGCGGAUGAGAAUUAGAUUCCAGCAAGGAGAUGCACUUGUGUGAGGUUAGGAAGGCAGCAGCGGGGAAGAGACUACUUGGUGCUGAAUGUUGCUGCUGAAGACAAUGUGUGUGUGUGUGUGUGUGUGUGUGUGUGUGUGUGUGUCA